GGAGACGAUUUGGGUAUGCCUAUACAUGCAAGUCGAGCGGACAGAAGGGAGCUUGCUCCCGGAUGUUAGCGGCGGACGGGUGAGUAACACGUGGGUAACCUGCCUGUAAGACUGGGAUAACUCCGGGAAACCGGAGCUAAUACCGGAUAGUUCCUUGAACCGCAUGGUUCAAGGAUGAAAGACGGUUUCGGCUGUCACUUACAGAUGGACCCGCGGCGCAUUAGCUAGUUGGUGAGGUAACGGCUCACCAAGGCGACGAUGCGUAGCCGACCUGAGAGGGUGAUCGGCCACACUGGGACUGAGACACGGCCCAGACUCCUACGGGAGGCAGCAGUAGGGAAUCUUCCGCAAUGGACGAAAGUCUGACGGAGCAACGCCGCGUGAGUGAUGAAGGUUUUCGGAUCGUAAAGCUCUGUUGUUAGGGAAGAACAAGUGCAAGAGUAACUGCUUGCACCUUGACGGUACCUAACCAGAAAGCCACGGCUAACUACGUGCCAGCAGCCGCGGUAAUACGUAGGUGGCAAGCGUUGUCCGGAAUUAUUGGGCGUAAAGGGCUCGCAGGCGGUUUCUUAAGUCUGAUGUGAAAGCCCCCGGCUCAACCGGGGAGGGUCAUUGGAAACUGGGAAACUUGAGUGCAGAAGAGGAGAGUGGAAUUCCACGUGUAGCGGUGAAAUGCGUAGAGAUGUGGAGGAACACCAGUGGCGAAGGCGACUCUCUGGUCUGUAACUGACGCUGAGGAGCGAAAGCGUGGGGAGCGAACAGGAUUAGAUACCCUGGUAGUCCACGCCGUAAACGAUGAGUGCUAAGUGUUAGGGGGGUUUCCGCCCCUUAGUGCUGCAGCUAACGCAUUAAAGCACUCCGCCUGGGGAGUACGGUCGCAAGACUGAAACUCAAAGGAAUUGACGGGGGGCCCGCACAAGCGGUGGAGCAUGUGGUUUUAAUUCGUAGCACGCGAAGAACCUUACCAGGUCUUGACAUCUUCUGACACCCUAGGAGAUAGGGCUUCCCUUCGGGGACAGAGUGGAACAGGUUGGUGCAUGGGUUGUCGUCAGCCUCCGUGUCGGUGAGAUGGUGGGGUAAGUCCCCGCAACGAGGCGGCCAACCUUGAAUCUAAGUUGCCAGGCAAUUCAAGUUGGGGAACUCUUAAGGGGACUGCGGGUGACAAUCCGGAGGGAGGGGGAUGACGUCAAUCAUUAUGGGCCUUAGACUGCUUACACGGGUCUACAUGGACAGACACAGGGGUCGCAGAACACGCU
RNAcentral lists this ribosomal RNA (1256 nucleotides) under Bacillus subtilis. Its description in RNAcentral is "bacterial SSU rRNA". It matches the Rfam family "Bacterial small subunit ribosomal RNA", at positions 26 to 1259 of the family's 1533-position model. The record is from RNAcentral. Lineage: Bacteria; Bacillati; Bacillota; Bacilli; Caryophanales; Bacillaceae.